AUUGAACGCUGGCGGCAGGCCUAACACAUGCAAGUCGAGCGGAUGAAGGGAGCUUGCUCCUGGAUUCAGCGGCGGACGGGUGAGUAAUGCCUAGGAAUCUGCCUGGUAGUGGGGGAUAACGUCCGGAAACGGGCGCUAAUACCGCAUACGUCCUGAGGGAGAAAGUGGGGGAUCUUCGGACCUCACGCUAUCAGAUGAGCCUAGGUCGGAUUAGCUAGUUGGUGGGGUAAAGGCCUACCAAGGCGACGAUCCGUAACUGGUCUGAGAGGAUGAUCAGUCACACUAGAACUGAGACACAGUCCAGACUCCUACGGGAGGCAGCAGUGGGGAAUAUUGGACAAUGGGCGAAAGCCUGAUCCAGCCAUGCCGCGUGUGUGAAGAAGGUCUUCGGAUUGUAAAGCGCUUUAAGUUGGGAGGAAGGGCAGUAAGUUAAUACCUUGCUGUUUUGACGUUACCAACAGAAUAAGCACCGGCUAACUUCGUG
This 484-nucleotide ribosomal RNA is filed under the name uncultured bacterium. RNAcentral's name for it is "partial 16S ribosomal RNA". It matches the Rfam family "Bacterial small subunit ribosomal RNA", at positions 30 to 507 of the family's 1533-position model. The record is from RNAcentral.